This 3211-nucleotide long non-coding RNA is filed under the name Zea mays. RNAcentral describes it as "long non-coding RNA (ZMAY_LNC001383)". Lineage: Eukaryota; Viridiplantae; Streptophyta; Magnoliopsida; Poales; Poaceae. The record is from RNAcentral.
CCACAUCUGCGCGGGCGCCGUUCAUCCCACGGCGGAGGGCCCCUGCCAGGACUGCUCUGCCAGACCUCCCUAUUCCCCAUGGCGAGCCUCCUGUGCACCCCCUCCCUUUCCGACGAGUGCAUACGCAUAGCCGCAUACAGGUGAAUCAAUGCCGAGCGCAAACGAGAGUUAGAUAGGAGAGACAGUGUGGGUCGCUGCUGUUGCUCCCCGCUGCCUCCGUUGAACUCGUGACGCCUUCGCUGACGGGUCUUGGAGAUCCGCCCUUGUGCGGAGCUCGUGUUGGCAGGCUUCCUAGUUCGCGUGUGGCCUUGAUGGAUCGACGAUUUCUCGCCGGAUUUGGAAACCAGCCAUCCUGUCGCUCCCCCUCCGUCGACUUCAUAUCCCGGCAUGCCAAAUCCAGGUAUGGAGCAUGCAGCGGAAUUCGCCUCCGUCUUCUCUGCGCCUAGCACCUAGUUAAUUUCGGGUUCGUGCGCUUGGGUGCUGGCGUGAAUCUCGCCCGCCAUGGCGUCGCCGCCGCGCGGGCUGGCGCACCGCCGUCUCCGACCGGGGUGAGGGAAACGUGGGGCCAUUGAUCUCGUGUGUAGCGGCCAAGAUUUGGUGUUAGAGUAACUCGUCGUGAAGUCAAAUCUGGACCAUAGGUGUUAGAUCCGACCGCUGCUGUCGAGUACCGGUUCAUUCGUCGGGGAUCUAAUCUGGGUCGUCUGUUUUGAUCUGACGGCUCAGAUCAAGUGUUUCCCCUAGGCCGCGCCCAUUUUACAUAAGAACCCUCGCUGUUACACCAAAUCAACCCACAGUUCUGCGCUGUGGGCACCGAGUCUUGGGAAUUCUAAUGCAGAUGCCCCUGCCUUUCUCAGGAAUUAUGCGCGCAGUCCAGAGUAUUGGUAAAUCAGAGAAAAGAAUUAUAAAUUGAUUUUUGAAUAUAGAAAUAAUUGCAGAAACUUGUUUAAUUCCUAGAAAAUUCAUAUGAAGUCCAAAUUAAUCCAUUCCGAUCCCUAUAAUUUUGUAAUAUUAUUAUUUAUCAUGUAGUACUACUGUUUUGACAUGAAAGUCAAAUUAAAAUUUAUAUCAUAUUUAAUCUUGUACAAAACACAUAGAAUCUUCGGAAAUUCAUAACUCCUCCGUUUGAAUUCCGAAUUGACUCGUUCCAGUUACGUUAGUCUCGUAUAAAUUUUUACUAUGCAAUAACAACAUUUAUUUUACCAUGUUUUAUUCUUUUAUAACUAGACUUUUAUUUAACUUAUGUUAGUUAGUCUUGUUAAUCUGCUUAUCAUUAUAAUCUACUAAAAUAUGAUCUAUGGUCAAUUUAUAAUUUAUAUUAAAGUUGAAUUAAUUACUACUUUAGGUUAUCUUUUCUCUGGGAUUAUAAAAUAAACAUAGAACCUAGUUUGAAUCAUUUAAUCACCUCAUAACUUGAUGACCACGACUCCGAUCUUAGUAGUUCUCGAUCCCACGAUCUCGUAGCGACGUGUAGAUCAUUAUUAUGCAGUUUGUUCAUAUGUUUAGUGUGAUAUUAAUUUUGUCUAUACCAUGUCUGUUUGUAUUGCUACGACUAGCAGUGAGAUCGCGAGGAUCUGAAGAAUCAUCCUAGUACCUGGGAUCUCAAGUGUCAAGCAAGUUGUGUCUUUGAUCACAUUUAUUACCCAAUAAUGUUCUUUAUUAUCACUUAUUCAUGCAUAGGUUUAAUUUUGAUGGGACCCAAUAGGUCACCCUAGUCUGUUUAUCUUGUUAUCUUGUUUACCCCUGAAUCAUUUGGGUAGUUUUUGCUAUUGCCCUAUAUGUUUUUGGGAUUAAUACUACAUUAUGUCCAUGUUUCAAUUAUUCUGUUAUUUUAUUUAUGUUCAUGUCAAGAUCAUCAUUAUCUUUAAUUGGAACAUGGAGCUUAACUAGAGAAACAUGUGCCACCACAAGGGUGUAAUGGGACGCCCUUGGCUAACUAAUUAGGAAAGCUAGUGGAAGACUACCUUACCCGAAAGGGGCAAGGGAAGUAAGGGAGUUGCAUGCAGGGAGGUUCUCGGGUUGAUUUUGCCGCAAUGGCGGUCAGAAGAGGGAUUCUUGCAAGUGCUCUUUUCAUAAACUGUAGCGGGUUUUUGGAAGCUAGUGGAACUUUGUAAAGGCCUCGUAGUGGAUCCCUAGCCAUUCACCUCGGUAGUGUCUAAGGGUCUAUCUAACCCUGGCGACAUGGGAUACACGACUUGUGGGUACAGGGUACAACCUCUGCAGAGUGUAAAACUGGUAUACUAGCCGAGCUCACGGUCAUGAGCAGCUCAGGACUCUUGCAUGAUUAAUUUAUGGAACUUAAAUUCAAUUUGUCAUUUGCAUUGCAUGGGAUUAUUUAUUAAUUUUGUUCUAUUAUUUAUUAUGGUUUGGUAUUUACUUACACUUAGUAACUGCUAAUAAAAUUUUGACCAACAUAUUAAAAGCAAUGCUCAGCUUUAACCCCUAUUGUUGAUUAGCCUUACACAUCACAUGAACUCCCACCUUUGGUGAGUUCAUGCCACAUUAUUCCCCACAACUUGUUGAGUGAUGAACAUGUGUGAGCUCAUCCUUGCUGUCUCACACUCCCCCACAGGAGAAGAACAUGUGGUUCAAGUGGAGCCACGUAUCGAGGGGUUCGAUUCGAUCUAGGUGGCGUCUCCCAGUUGACUUUAUGGCGCCAAGGAUGGACUUUAGUUCGAUCUAUAUUUAUCUUCUAUUUUGUAAGACUUCCGCUAUGUAACAAUGUCGGGGACCAUAAUUAGGGGUACCCCCAAGACUCCUAAACUCGGCUGGUAACCACCAUCAGCACAAAGCUGCAAAGGCCUGAUGGGCGCAGUACAGGUCAAAGCUCUGCCCACUCAAGGGACACGAUCUCGCCUCGCCCGAGCCCAGCCUCGGACACGAACAGCAGACCCAGGUGGAUUCACGUCUCGCCCGAGGGCCUCCUCAAGCAACGGGCGCACCUUCGAACUCGCCCGAGGCCCAGCUCGGGCAGGCUUCGCGGAGAAGCAACCUUGGCCAGAUCACCUCGCCAACCGACCGUAUCGCAGGAGCAUUCAAUACAAGGAUUGUCUGACACCUUAUCCUGACGCACGUUCCUCAGUCGACAGGGCCGAAGUGACCGCAGUCACUUCGCCCCUCCACUGACUGACCUGACAGGAAAACAGCGCCGCCUGCCCCUGCUCCGACUGCUGUGCCACCCGCCAGGGUGAGGCUUACAGCAGCCAAGUCCAGC